GACGUAGGUGGCGAACGUUAUCCGGAAUUAUUGGGCGUAAAGGGUGCGUAGGUGGCUUGAAAAGUUAUCAGUGGCAAAUCGAGGCUUAACCUCGCGGAAACUGGUAAUACUGUUUGGCUCGAGUGCAGGAGAGGUUAACGGAACUCUAUGUGGAGCGGUAAAAUGCACAGAUAUAUAGAAGAACACCAAUAACGGCGAAGGCAGUUAACUAUUCUGUUACUGACACUGAGGCACGAAAGCGUGGGGAGCAAAACGG
Molecule: ribosomal RNA, 256 nt
Filed under: uncultured bacterium
Lineage: Bacteria
Description: partial 16S ribosomal RNA
Rfam family: Bacterial small subunit ribosomal RNA
Source: RNAcentral